This is a long non-coding RNA of Haliotis rubra (blacklip abalone), 197 nucleotides long. RefSeq lists it as uncharacterized. The record is from RefSeq and is a predicted model, not a curated record. Lineage: Eukaryota; Metazoa; Mollusca; Gastropoda; Lepetellida; Haliotidae. The transcript is spliced from 3 exons.
ACGACGUUAAACCCAAUUUCACCUCACCUCACCUCACCUCAGCUCUGAAAUAGUGUCAUGGGAGAUAACUCUUUGCAAUUUUCUUUUCCAGAUCUUGGUGGCAUUAAAUGUCUUUUGGAGAAACACUCAAUUGAAAAAAACACUUAUUUUUCGCUUUGCCUCGCGCUUGAAAAAGUUGUAAACUCUUUUGAUGAUUU